CCUACGGGAGGCAGCAGUGGGGAAUAUUGCGCAAUGGUCGAAAGCCUGACGCAGCGACGCCGCGUGCGGGAUGAAGGUCUUCGGAUCGUAAACCUCUUUCAGCAGGGAGGAACGGUCACUGUGCUAAUCAGCAGUGAAUUGACGGUACCUGCAAAGGAAGCACCGUCUAACUCCGUGCCAGCAGCCGCGGUAAUACGGAGGGUGCGGGCGUUAAUCGGAAUUACUGGGCGUAAAGCGCUCGUAGGCGGGAUGUCAAGCCAAGGGUGAAAUCCCCGCGCUCAACGUGGGAACUGCCUUUGAAACUGGCAAGCUGGAGUGUGUGAGAGGAUAGUGGAAUUCGAGGUGUAGGAGUGAAAUCCGUAGAUAUCUGGAGGAACAUCAGUGGCGAAGGCGACUAUCUGGCACAUAACUGACGCUGAGGAGCGAAGGCGUGGGUAGCGAACAGGAUUAGAUACCCUAGUAGUC
Molecule: ribosomal RNA, 465 nt
Filed under: uncultured bacterium
Lineage: Bacteria
Description: partial 16S ribosomal RNA
Rfam family: Bacterial small subunit ribosomal RNA
Source: RNAcentral